Molecule: ribosomal RNA, 427 nt
Filed under: uncultured bacterium
Lineage: Bacteria
Description: partial 16S ribosomal RNA
Rfam family: Bacterial small subunit ribosomal RNA
Source: RNAcentral
UGGGGAAUAUUGCACAAUGGGCGCAAGCCUGAUGCAGCCAUGCCGCGUGUAUGAAGAAGGCCUUCGGGUUGUAAAGUACUUUCAGCGAGGAGGAAGGCGUUGUGGUUAAUAACCGCAGCGAUUGACGUUACUCGCAGAAGAAGCACCGGCUAACUCCGUGCCAGCAGCCGCGGUAAUACGGAGGGUGCAAGCGUUAAUCGGAAUUACUGGGCGUAAAGCGCACGCAGGCGGUCUGUCAAGUCGGAUGUGAAAUCCCCGGGCUCAACCUGGGAACUGCAUCCGAAACUGGCAGGCUAGAGUCUUGUAGAGGGGGGUAGAAUUCCAGGUGUAGCGGUGAAAUGCGUAGAGAUCUGGAGGAAUACCUGUGGCGAAGGCGGCCCCCUGGACAAAGACUGACGCUCAGGUGCGAAAGCGUGGGGAGCAAACA